CAAGUCGAGGGGUAACGGAAGUAGCUUGCUACUAGACGACGACCGGCGCACGGGUGAGUAACGCGUAUGUAAUCUGCCUUGUACAGAGGGAUAGCCCAGAGAAAUUUGGAUUAAUACCUCAUAGUAUUACCGAAUCGCAUGAUUUGGUAAUUAAAGCUCCGGCGGUACAAGAUGAACAUGCGUGACAUUAGCUAGUUGGUAAGGUAACGGCUUACCAAGGCUACGAUGUCUAGGGGUUCUGAGAGGAUGAUCCCCCACACUGGUACUGAGACACGGACCAGACUCCUACGGGAGGCAGCAGUGAGGAAUAUUGGUCAAUGGACGCAAGUCUGAACCAGCCAUCCCGCGUGAAGGAUGACUGCCCUAUGGGUUGUAAACUUCUUUUAUAUGCAAAUAAACCUACUUUCGUGAAAGUAGCUGAAGGUAGCAUAUGAAUAAACACCGGCUAACUCCGUGCCAGCAGCCGCGGUAAUACGGAGGGUGU
This 484-nucleotide ribosomal RNA is filed under the name uncultured bacterium. RNAcentral describes it as "bacterial SSU rRNA". It matches the Rfam family "Bacterial small subunit ribosomal RNA", at positions 58 to 535 of the family's 1533-position model. The record is from RNAcentral.